GGGGGUGACCUGGUUUCGACGCGGGUCGCGAAACUCCGAGUGCAUGCCGAGGGACAGACCACCUCGUAAAUCCAACUGUAAAACUCAUAGUUGCCAACGACGACAACUACGCUUUAGCUGCUUAAAAACCAGUUUGAAGCCUUCUGCCCGGAUCGUGCCUAUGCGUCCGGAUCACAGGAGUCACCGACAUAGGACCGCGGUGCGGGCAUGUUCAGGGCUCAAUCCGUUAAAUCCUUACUGAACUGGCUGUGAGUUUUCCCUGCCCGUCGGGUAGCCCACAGUGAGAUUAAAGACGGAAUAAGCAUGUAGAGCUCGUAGCGUAGGGCUUGCGGACGUGGGUUCGAUUCCCACCACCUCCACCA
Molecule: transfer-messenger RNA, 362 nt
Filed under: Gammaproteobacteria bacterium
Lineage: Bacteria; Pseudomonadati; Pseudomonadota; Gammaproteobacteria
Also listed under: 2 other names
Rfam family: transfer-messenger RNA
About the family: Bacterial tmRNA, also known as 10Sa RNA or SsrA, is named for its dual tRNA and mRNA-like properties. Its role is to liberate the mRNA from a stalled ribosome. To accomplish this part of the tmRNA is used as a reading frame that ends in a translation stop signal.
Source: RNAcentral